CCUACGGGUGGCAGCAGUGAGGAAUAUUGGUCAAUGGGCGGAAGCCUGAACCAGCCAAGUAGCGUGCGGGAUGAAGGCCCUACGGGUCGUAAACCGCUUUUGCACGGGGAUAACACCCUCCACUUGUGGAGGUCUGCAGGUACCGUGCGAAUAAGGGCCGGCUAAUUCCGUGCCAGCAGCCGCGGUAAUACGGAAGGCCCGAGCGUUAUCCGGAUUUAUUGGGUUUAAAGGGUGCGUAGGCGGACUGUUAAGUCAGCGGUAAAAGCCCGGGGCUCAACCCCGGCGAGCCGUUGAAACUGGCUGUCUUGAGAUGUCGAGAGGUAUGCGGAAUGCGCAGUGUAGCGGUGAAAUGCUUGGAUAUUGCGCAGAACUCCGAUUGCGAAGGCAGCAUACCGGCGGCGAUCUGACGCUGAGGCACGAAAGCGUGGGUAUCGAACAGGAUUAGAUACCCUUGUAGUC
This 459-nucleotide ribosomal RNA is filed under the name uncultured bacterium. RNAcentral describes it as "partial 16S ribosomal RNA". It matches the Rfam family "Bacterial small subunit ribosomal RNA", at positions 338 to 795 of the family's 1533-position model. The record is from RNAcentral.